RNAcentral lists this transfer RNA (66 nucleotides) under Astalotermes sp. TB-2014. Its description in RNAcentral is "tRNA-Pro". The record is from RNAcentral. Lineage: Eukaryota; Metazoa; Arthropoda; Insecta; Blattodea; Termitidae. RNAcentral also lists the same sequence under 1 other name.
CAGAGGGUAUUUUAUAUAAAAUAUUAGUUUUGGGGACUAAUGAAAUGGGCUUAACUUUUCCUCUGA